AGUGGAUGUAGGAAAUGGGAUCCACAUGUGUGAGGUGAGGGAACGCCCCUAAUUGCAACGGGCAGCUGAGCAAACCUGACUGAAGGCUUCCAACUGCAAGGCUGACUGAAAACCUGCCCCUAAACAAACCCAAGAAGUUUAAUAGCUACUGUGGAGACUGCAAUUGGAUGCAAAUUUUGGGUCUGGCUUUUCAGAGAUGACACAGCAAGCCCCAGGUCAGAUGUAUGCCCAGUUCACAUCGGUCAGGAGAAGAGUGGGAGAGGAAAUUGUUAUCACAAUUGCAAAAGCCUGGCAGAAAAAUUAUUACAGCGCAGCUGUUUUUAAGAAUGGGUUUCCCACAUCACCCAAUCUCAAGAGACCACCUUGAACACUGCUUGGAAGGAAAGCAGCACUGAAGACAGCCAACUGCAAAAUAACCUGAGUGGCUUCCUCAUCCCACUUUGUCAAGAGUUCUCUGAAAAAGGAAAUGAAGACUUACAGGUGGGCUGGGGCAAUCCUGUCACAAGAUGCUGCUGAUGCUGGAGGUGUGCAGCAACUUCAGAAGUUAGCAAGUUCUGUGGAAUAAAACCCCAUGAAGAACCACCUCACAGAAAGAGGCCACUUCGGUCUCUGGCAGCCUUUAAACCACAGGUUGCUGA
Gallus gallus (chicken) is the source of this 638-nucleotide long non-coding RNA. NCBI's taxonomy places the organism in Eukaryota, Metazoa, Chordata, Aves, Galliformes, Phasianidae. The record is from Ensembl.